This 389-nucleotide ribosomal RNA is filed under the name Stramenopiles sp. MAST-1C. Its description in RNAcentral is "partial small subunit ribosomal RNA". It matches the Rfam family "Eukaryotic small subunit ribosomal RNA", at positions 582 to 975 of the family's 1831-position model. The record is from RNAcentral.
AUUCCAGCUCCAAUAGCGUAUAUUAAAGUUGUUGCAGUUAAAAAGCUCGUAGUUGGAUUUCUGGCAGGAGCGACCGGUCCGCCGCAAGGUGUGCACUAGGUUGUCUCCAGUCAUCUUUGUGGGAACUGCCCUGGCAUUAGGUUGUCGGGGUUAGGGAACACAUCGUUUACUGUGAAAAAAUUAGAGUGUUUAAAGCAGGCUUAUGCCGUUGAAUACAUUAGCAUGGAAUAAUAAGAUAGGACUUUGGCGUCUAUUUUGUUGGUUUGCACACCAAGGUAAUGAUUAAUAGGGAUAGUUGGGGGUAUUCGUAUUUAAUUGUCAGAGGUGAAAUUCUUGGAUUUAUGAAAGACGAACUUCUGCGAAAGCAUUUACCAAAGAUGUUUUCAUUA